This 582-nucleotide long non-coding RNA is filed under the name Elaeis guineensis (African oil palm). Its description in RNAcentral is "long non-coding RNA (EGUI_LNC076848)". Lineage: Eukaryota; Viridiplantae; Streptophyta; Magnoliopsida; Arecales; Arecaceae. The record is from RNAcentral.
ACAUCUCAAACAUCUAGCUGUCUCAUUCUCACAAUUCUUAUCAUUUGCUGGCUUCUUUGCUGGACCCUUAUUAUUCUGAUUUCGUCCUUGAGUUCUACCAAACUUAUUUCUCUUCUUCUGAUUUUGUUCUCUCUCCGCAUGUGCUUCAUUAACUUUCUUCUUAAUUAUUAGAGCUUUAUUCAUAACUGAGGCAUAAGUAGUUAACUCAUAGGGUACAACUUAUUUUUUAAUUUCUAUCUUCAGUUUCAUUUCAAAUUUAUGUACUCUGUCUUGCUCAAUCUCAACUAAUCUUGGAACAAACUUGGUUAACUUCGUGAAUUUAGCUUCAUAUUCUGCAACAGAUCUAUUUUCCUGUUUCAGAUGAAUGAACUCCUGCUCUUUCUGUAUUCUGACACUUCGAGGAAAGUACUUGUCAAAGAAUUCAUCUCAAAAUCUCUCCCAAGUGAGUGGUAUCCUAUCGUGUUCAUAUUUUUGUUCAAGUAUACGCCACCAGUUGUAUGCCUCGCCUUGUAACAGAUAUGCUGUGUAGCGAAUCUUCUCUUCAUCAUGGCAUUCUUGCACGGUGAAUGCCUUCUCCAUUUU